RNAcentral lists this long non-coding RNA (221 nucleotides) under Marmota monax (woodchuck). Lineage: Eukaryota; Metazoa; Chordata; Mammalia; Rodentia; Sciuridae. The record is from RNAcentral.
GUUAAUGCAGAAUUGUCAUAUAUGUAAGAUGCAUGUUAGACACUUGUCUUUUUUAAGAACUAAAAUAAUUGUAUUAUUGUGAAGUCUCAUUUUUUUCAAGUAUGAAAUUAAUCAGCAGCGUGCUGCAUAAUUUGGUGUCUGUUAAGGUAGGAGAGUGGUGAACAGGUAAUCUAUGCAUAUAUCACUAGUGCCAAGACAUUAAGCAGGGGAAAAUAUAUUUU